Molecule: non-coding RNA, 113 nt
Organism: Acanthosepion pharaonis
Lineage: Eukaryota; Metazoa; Mollusca; Cephalopoda; Sepiida; Sepiidae
Source: the annotation of a GenBank genome assembly
UACAACCAUAUCACAUGGAAACACCAGUUCUCAUACAACCACCAUAGUUAAGCAAUGUCAAGCCUAGUCAGUACCAGGCUGGGUAACAACUUGGGAAUACGAGGUGCUGUAUG